AUUGAACGCUGGCGGCAUGCCUUACACAUGCAAGUCGAACGGCAGCACGGGUGCUUGCACCUGGUGGCGAGUGGCGCACGGGUGAGUAAUACAUCGGAACAUGUCCUGUAUUGGGGGAUAGCCCGUCGAAAGCCGGAUUAAUACCGCAUACGAUCUACGGAUGAAAGCGGGGGCCCUUCGGGCCUCGCGCUAUAGGGUUGGCCGAUGGCUGAUUAGCUAGUUGGUGGGGUAAAGGCCUACCAAGGCGACGAUCAGUAGCUGGUCUGAGAGGGCGACCAGCCACACUGGGACUGAGACACGGCCCAGACUCCUACGGGAGGCAGCAGUGGGGAAUGUUGGACAAUGGGCGAAAGCCUGAUCCAGCAAUGCCGCGUGUGUGAAGAAGGCCUUCGGGUUGUAAAGCACUUUUGUCCGGAAAGAAAUCCUUGGCCCUAAUACGGUCGGGGGAUGACGGUACCGGAAGAAUAAGCACCGGCUAACUACGUG
Molecule: ribosomal RNA, 486 nt
Filed under: uncultured bacterium
Lineage: Bacteria
Description: partial 16S ribosomal RNA
Rfam family: Bacterial small subunit ribosomal RNA
Source: RNAcentral